UACUAUAUUCAUAAAAUAACCUUUCACCCUUCAUUAUGCUUUGGGCUGCUGAAUACACAUAAACCCUGUGAUGAAGGAAAAAUGACAAUUCGACUAACAGCUCCCAAAAAUACAUUCACACGGCUUUAUAUAUAUUGAACAGUCAGUUUCAUCACAAGAAUUGUUAUCAAGAGGCAGCAACAUGACGUAAAAUUAUUUUCCUCAAGAGAAAUAUUCGAGUUUCACUCACUGCUUUGAUCUCGUUAUUCCAUUUUGUGGUGUUGUUGAAUCCGGGUUUUCUUCGUAGUGAAGUAAGGUGGAAGCAGAUUAUUUCUUGGAAUAUAAGGUUUAUCAUAUUAAUUGUGGAAGUUCUUGGAUGGACUGAGCUCUUGAACGACGUGAGGUACAGUGGUUCGAGAUCCGCCAGUGUAGGCCACACAUUCUGCUAUUAUAGAGUGCUCCUUUUGAUCCGGAGCCCAUAUGUUGGUACACAUCUUUUGUGACAUAUAUGCUUUGUAUAUCUGACUAUUUGGGGUACGGCGGGGCCCUGUCCCGUCAUAUGAUUCGGUUGGUCUGUUUAGAGGUCUGCAGACGUAUAUGUGGGUCAUGGGUCGUGUUUGUUCUAUUAUGUUUGUGAUUUGUGCCUUAAGCGGUCCCGUUUGAUAUUAUGGCCAAAACGGCCCAUAUGUUUAUAUAUGUUUGUAUAUCUGGGCGAUGUGUAUUCCGCCAACCUUCCGGAUUUGAUAUGAUGUUUCUGUACGGGCGACCGCUUAAGAUGAUAUUUGUUUUCAGUAUCUGUUUAAAAAGACGUAUGAUAAGUUUGAAGAAGUCUUUGAUAUGUCGAUUUGGUAAGCGAAUGGAUUGGGUGUCCAAAUAGGGCACCAGUCGCGGCCCACGGGGCUGGGUCGUGACAGCAUCUCCCCCUACAAGCCAAGUGAUCCCAGACUUAAGUCUCCAGAACUGCUCUUCACUCUUCAAGAUAAAUGAAUAUUCAGUCUGGAGAUCAGUUUCAAGGUUCUGAAGAAAGCUACUAGUAGGAUAGUUAACUGAUUUCUGGAUUCCACCUAACCUAGCAAGAAUGCUCCUCUUCUUAUGAAAGAUGUUCCCAAAAGUUUGCCUAUUCCAGAUGAUAGCUAGAUUUUAGAAAUUUGAAGUGAUUUCAUAAAGGUUUCCAUCUUCACUAAAGCAUUGUUGGAUUAGAGUGGGAAAGUAGGCAUGGCUAUACCAUAUUGAAUCAAACCUAAAGAGUUUGUCAAUAACAUUAAGAGGGUUCUUCAGCAAAUUGAGCAAGAUGGGAAAGUGAUAGAGUGAGUUUUUGGUAAAUGAGUGACAGUGGACUCAGGGUAGUCAUGGAUCCAAUCCUCAGUAGCAAAGAAUCUAUCUAGUCUUUCAAAAAUUGGAGAAUGAGCAUUUGAGAAUAUGUUAUUAGACCAAGUAUAUUUGCUACCGGUGAAGCCCAA
Long non-coding RNA from Lycium barbarum (goji berry), 1439 nucleotides. RefSeq lists it as uncharacterized. NCBI's taxonomy places the organism in Eukaryota, Viridiplantae, Streptophyta, Magnoliopsida, Solanales, Solanaceae. The record is from RefSeq and is a predicted model, not a curated record. The transcript is spliced from 3 exons.